ACCUAUUAAUAGGUAUGCUUAGGGAGGAGCUUGCGUCACAUUAGUUAGUUGGUGGGGUAAAGGCCUACCAAGACUAUGAUGUGUAGCCGGGCUGAGAGGUUGAACGGCCACAUUGGGACUGAGACACGGCCCAAACUCCUACGGGAGGCAGCAGUAGGGAAUUUUCGGCAAUGGAGGAAACUCUGACCGAGCAACGCCGCGUGAACGAUGAAGUAUUUCGGUACGUAAAGUUCUUUUAUUAGGGAAGAAUAAAUGAUGGAAAAAUCAUUCUGACGGUACCUAAUGAAUAAGCCCCGGCUAACUAUGUGCCAGCAGCCGCGGUAAUACAUAGGGGGCAAGCGUUAUCCGGAAUUAUUGGGCGUAAAGGGUGCGUAGGCUGUUAAAUAAGUUUAUGGUCUAAGUGCAAUGCUCAACAUUGUGAUGCUAUAAAAACUGUUUAGCUAGAGUAAGAUAGAGGCAAGUGGAAUUCCAUGUGUAGUGGUAAAAUGCGUAAAUAUAUGGAGGAACACCAGUAGCGAAGGCGGCUUGCUGGGUCUUUACUGACGCUGAGGCACGAAAGCGUGGGGAGCAAACAGGAUUAGAUACCCUGGUAGUCCACGCCGUAAACGAUGAGUACUAAACGUUGGGUAAAACCAGUGUUGAAGUUAACACAUUAAGUACUCCGCCUGAGUAGUACGUACGCAAGUAUGAAACUUAAAGGAAUUGACGGGACUCCGCACAAGCGGUGGAUCAUGUUGUUUAAUUCGAAGGUACCCGAAAAACCUCACCAGGUCUUGACAUGCUUCUGCAAAGCUGUAGAAACACAGUGGAGGUUAUCAGUUGCACAGGUGGUGCAUGGUUGUCGUCAGCUCGUGUCGUGAGAUGUUGGGUUAAGUCCCGCAACGAGCGCAACCCUUAUUGUUAGUUGCCAGCACGUAAUGGUGGGGACUUUAGCAAGACUGCCAGUGAUAAAUUGGAGGAAGGUGGGGACGACGUCAAAUCAUCAUGCCCCUUAUGACCUGGGCUACAAACGUGAUACAAUGGCUGUUACAAAGGGUAGCUGAAACGCAAGUUUUUGGCGAAUCUCAAAAAAACAGUCUCAGUUCGGAUUGAAGUCUGCAACUCGACUUCAUGAAGUUGGAAUCGCUAGUAAUCGCGAAUCAGC
RNAcentral lists this ribosomal RNA (1144 nucleotides) under 'Daucus carota' phytoplasma. RNAcentral's name for it is "bacterial SSU rRNA". It matches the Rfam family "Bacterial small subunit ribosomal RNA", at positions 201 to 1353 of the family's 1533-position model. The record is from RNAcentral. Lineage: Bacteria; Bacillati; Mycoplasmatota; Mollicutes; Acholeplasmatales; Acholeplasmataceae.